RNAcentral lists this unclassified non-coding RNA (1148 nucleotides) under Hevea brasiliensis (rubber tree). Lineage: Eukaryota; Viridiplantae; Streptophyta; Magnoliopsida; Malpighiales; Euphorbiaceae. The record is from RNAcentral.
AAAUAACAAAUAUAUGGACCUCCAAUGUCUACUAGACACUUUGAUGAUAUGUCGUCAUCACGGGUGUUGCCCGAAGGAAGGGAUGCCCAAAUCACUUGACAAUAUUUUACACAACUGUCUAAAUGAAGAUGAAUCUCCAUGCAACUUUCUUAAUUCUACAACGAAUAGUGAUGGACAUAUCUCAAAAACCUGAGCUGAUAUUGAAAAUAUGCUGCCCACACCAUUCUCACCCCUUUCCUCUCUAAUUACUUUCAACCUUCCUUCCUUCUUUUGGACAAGAAACCCCAUAUCUGUUACAAGAUCCUCCAUUCGCUUAAUGGUAUCUUCUUUUGUAGAGUGAUUGAUUGUAAAUCUUAUCUUCCUUUCCGAAAUGUCCUCUUCCUCAAAGAAACCUGAAAGGUCCAAGCAUAAGGACAUUCCAAUUAGUUGAAAAGCAUUUAUAGUAGUGGGAGACUCUGAACUCUCUUGAUUCGUUGAGAUGGCCACGUAUAUAUCCUCUUGAUCUUCAUCGUAAAAGUUGGGUGGAUGAUAGUCCUUACUAAACCAAUGGUCUAUUUUGAUGGAUUCCAUAGUUGCCCUAAAAAUAGGGUUAGGAUCAAGAAUCCGUCUAAUUAACUUUUGGGCCCCUUGUGACAGCCACAUUGGUAAUUGAGUUUCUCCUUUCAAGAUCCUUAAAUGCUCUUGUAAUGCACUUAAUCCAAAAUCAGAUAUCUUGAUAUUUCCUCUAGCAUCCACAAGUAUGUUCUCUAGCUUGAGAUCCCUAUGGUAAACACCUUUCCUAUGGCAGUAACUCACACCAUCAAUUAACUGUUGGAAGAUUUUUCUGCCUUCGUCUUCUGAUACCUUCCCUUUCAAUGCGAUUCUAUUAUACAAUUCUCCGCCAUUCACAUACUCAAGAACCAUAUAAAUUUUGCUUUUACUGGCCAACACCUCGUAUAGCCUAACUAUAUUUGGAUGCUUUAGAAGUUUGAGAGUUCGUAUUUCCCUUUUAAACUGAUUCGUGAAAUUGAGAUUGAUGAUUUUGGUCUUCUCGAGAACCUUGAUAGCAAAAGGUUGGCCAGUUUCAAGGUUUAUAGCAAAUUUGACCUUACUGAAACUGCCAUGCCCGAUUGUUCUUCCCAGCUCGUAUUUUCCCAUUCGCAUUCUUG